RNAcentral lists this ribosomal RNA (493 nucleotides) under uncultured bacterium. RNAcentral's name for it is "bacterial SSU rRNA". It matches the Rfam family "Bacterial small subunit ribosomal RNA", at positions 8 to 498 of the family's 1533-position model. The record is from RNAcentral.
AGAGUUUGAUCCUGGCUCAGAUUGAACGCUGGCGGCAUGCCUUACACAUGCAAGUCGAACGGUAACGGGCCUUCGGGUGCCGACGAGUGGCGAACGGGUGAGUAAUGUAUCGGAACGUACCUUCCAGUGGGGGAUAACGUAGCGAAAGUUACGCUAAUACCGCAUAUUCUGUGAGCAGGAAAGCAGGGGAUCGCAAGACCUUGCGCUGAUUGAGCGGCCGAUAUCAGAUUAGCUAGUUGGUGAGGUAAAGGCUCACCAAGGCGACGAUCUGUAGCGGGUCUGAGAGGAUGAUCCGCCACACUGGAACUGAGACACGGUCCAGACUCCUACGGGAGGCAGCAGUGGGGAAUUUUGGACAAUGGGGGCAACCCUGAUCCAGCCAUGCCGCGUGAGUGAAGAAGGCCUUCGGGUUGUAAAGCUCUUUCAGCCGGGAAGAAAACGCAUGGGUUAAUACCCUGUGUGGAUGACGGUACCGGAAUAAGAAGCACCGGCU